RNAcentral lists this unclassified non-coding RNA (381 nucleotides) under uncultured bacterium. RNAcentral's name for it is "contains 16S-23S intergenic spacer region". The record is from RNAcentral.
UCCCCGAUUUCCGGGGCAGUCUCCCUAGAGUUCCCGGCCGAACCGUUGGCAACAGGACACAAGGGUUGCGCUCGUUGCGGGACUUAACCCAACAUCUCACGACACGAGCUGACGACAGCCAUGCAGCACCUGUGCAUGCUCCCCUUGCGGGGUCGUCCCACUUUCAUGGUUCUACCACAUGAAUGUCAAGGCCAGGUAAGGUUCUUCGCGUUGCAUCGAAUUAAGCCACAUACUCCACCGCUUGUGCAGGCCCCCGUCAAUUUCUUUGAGUUUCAGCCUUGCGGCCGUACUCCCCAGGCGGGGCACUUAAUGCGUUAGCUUCGGCACGGAGGGAGUCGACACCCCCCACACCUAGUGCCCAUCGUUUACAGCGUGGACUAC